Molecule: unclassified non-coding RNA, 366 nt
Filed under: Hevea brasiliensis (rubber tree)
Lineage: Eukaryota; Viridiplantae; Streptophyta; Magnoliopsida; Malpighiales; Euphorbiaceae
Source: RNAcentral
AAACCAUCUCUCUCUGUCUCUUUUUCUAUGAGUUUUGGAUCCAACGUGUCCAAGCUCUGGAUCUUCUUUGAAGCCCCAUUGGAUCUUUCAAGACUGAUACACCUACAGUUCACAGCAUGGCUCCACUCUUGUACUUGAGAUUCAAGAAGGUACUUCUGCUUUAUCUCGUUUUCUUCCUGUUUGUUUCUGUUCUUCUUUGUGCCUCCUCAGAUUGUUCUCAGCUGGAAAGGAAAGGGUUUAUUGGUAGAAGAAGAAUGUUAGAGGUGGAAAAAGAUCAAGACCAGCUGCCUAAGAAAAAAAGUACCAAUUCUUCUACCAAGAACCAAACCAAGCUUAUCAAACCCAAUCUUUCCUCUUCAAAAAACC